Molecule: ribosomal RNA, 506 nt
Filed under: uncultured bacterium
Lineage: Bacteria
Description: partial 16S ribosomal RNA
Rfam family: Bacterial small subunit ribosomal RNA
Source: RNAcentral
AGUGAACGCUGGCGGUAGGCCUAACACAUGCAAGUCGAACGGCAGCACAGGAGAGCUUGCUCUCUGGGUGGCGAGUGGCGGACGGGUGAGGAAUACAUCGGAAUCUACUCUGUCGUGGGGGAUAACGUAGGGAAACUUACGCUAAUACCGCAUACGACCUACGGGUGAAAGCAGGGGACCUUCGGGCCUUGCGCGAUUGAAUGAGCCGAUGUCGGAUUAGCUAGUUGGCGGGGUAAAGGCCCACCAAGGCGACGAUCCGUAGCUGGUCUGAGUGGAUGGACAGCCACACUGGAACUGAGACACGGUCCAGACUCCUACGGGAGGCAGCAGUGGGGAAUAUUGGACAAUGGGCGCAAGCCUGAUCCAGCCAUACCGCGUGGGUGAAGAAGGCCUUCGGGUUGUAAAGCCCUUUUGUUGGGAAAGAAAUCCAGCUGGCUAAUACCCGGUUGGGAUGACGGUACCCAAAGAAUAAGCACCGGCUAACUUCGUGCCAGCAGCCGCCGUAA